CCUACGGGAGGCAGCAGUGAGGAAUAUUGGACAAUGGGCGAAACCCUGAUGCAGCGACGCCGCGUGAAGGAAGACGUCUCUACGUGUUUUAACUUCUAUCAGCAGGGGAGAAAAUGACGGUACCUGACUAAGAAGCCCCGGCUCACUACGUGCCAGCAGCCGCGAGAAUCCGUCGGGGGCAAGCGUUAUCCGGAUUUACUGGGUGUAAAGGGAGAGUAGGCGGUUUAACAGGGUAGAAGGGAAAGAUCCGGGCUCAACUCCGGGACUGCCUUUGAAACUGUUGAACUAGAUUGCAGGAGAGGUAAGCGGAAUGCCUGGUGUAGCGGUGAAAUGCGUAGAUAUUAGGCAGAACACCAGUGGCGAAGGCGGCUUACUGGACUGUAAAUGACGCUGAGGCUCGAAAGCGUGGGGAGCAAACAGGAUUAGAUACCCUAGUAGUC
Molecule: ribosomal RNA, 440 nt
Filed under: uncultured bacterium
Lineage: Bacteria
Description: partial 16S ribosomal RNA
Rfam family: Bacterial small subunit ribosomal RNA
Source: RNAcentral